UAAUCCUAUCAGUCUAUACAGCAUAUAAAACCUAUAAUAGAUCUUUCGGUUAGUCAUAACAUAUAGUUAAGUAUUAGACAUUAGGUUUAAGUCUUAAUAUUAUUAUUAUACUUUGAUAUUCUUUUAAUCACAUCAUAACUUGUACUUAUAAGUUAUUCAUUUUUAUAUGUUAUCCUAGUAAAUUAGAUAACAUCUUAGUAAACCGAAAUACCAUUUCAGUAAGACGGAUUUCAUUUCAGUAUCCUGAAAUCAAUAUUCUUUUUCACGAAAAAUACCAAAUCAACUUAUUAUUUUUCUAUCCUUUGGUCAAACACAUAUACAUAUAUUUCAUACACAAAAAUUAUUUUUCCAUAAUUUUCCAAGUUCCUUUAGUAUUUUUCAAAAAAAUCAUUUCUAGUUAAUUCCUUAAGAAAUUAGCUACCUUGUGCUUAACUCCAGAAAUUCCCAUCUUCUGACACAAUCUUACACAUGUUAACGUGACACUCCAGUUUAUAUUUCGUGGCAAUCGGAGUUGUAGAACUCCGGUUAUAGCCAUUUUCGUCGAAAAAUCACAAAAAUUGAAAUGGUCAUAAUUCGGUCAUUUUAAGUCGGAAUUAGCUCAUUUUUGGACAUGAGGUACUUAAUACCAUAUUUUUUCAUUUCCCAAAAUGCCGGAAUUUAUUUCAUAGUUUACGUGGCCAAAACAGCCCUCGUAAAAAUCUGGGCAGCAACUUUUUGGCCAAAAACAGUUUUGGGGUCCUUCACCGUAAAAUCCAUAUCUCUCAAACCGUAAGGCCAAAAAUUCUCAAAUUUUUACACAACCUGCAUAUCUACUGAUAUUAACACCCCAAAUGUUUCCAGAAUUUAUAAAGCAAAAAAAGGGUAUGAAAAUGCCCCUGCUACGGACUGAUCCAAAACAGUUCCUAGAAACGGGACUGUUUUCACAUAAAUCAACACCACGACUUUUAGAAACGUGAUUUUUGAGUUCUACCACUUGGGUUAACUAGUAAACACAUAUAUCUAGCACUACUCUUAGACAGAUCGAGAAAAGAAUGUCUAGAUCAAAAACGGUAAACAUUCAAAACACCUAAAAGUUAGGGUUUUCAAAACUAGAAAAAAUAUUUUUCUUUUCUUUUUGAUUCAAACCAAAUCAACACCCAUUAUGGGUAGAUCCAUACUUGAAAUCAUAUAAAUCACAUAGAUCUUAGGGUUUGAACUACCAAAUCAAAAACCCCUAAAUCAAAUCCAUAAACUAAAAUAGAGAAAAACUUAGGAAAAGUAUUUUUAUACCUUUGCUUUUCUUUCUCUCCUUCAAAGAUGUGAUAUGGGUCUUGGGUUUAUGAAAGUUAAAAUCCCCUCUCCCCCUUCUCUUGGAGCUGCCGAAAUGGCCUCCCUCUCUCUCUCUCUCUCUCUAGUUCUUUGCUAACUUGGAAGAAUAAAAGAGAUGAAAGAGAAAUGAGAUAAUUUUUUUUUUUAUCAAUUAUCCAACCCACUCUCUUUUUCUCUCAUACUCAACCGGCCAUGUGCCUUUCUUCUCUACAUUCUCCACUCAUUCUCUCUCUUAGUAAUCAUUGCAUACAUGUGUGGGAGAUUGAAAGCAAAGUGGCUCCUUAAAAUGGAUGACACCUAGCUAAGUUAUGAAAAAUCUUAUGGAACAUGUGGUGAUUAUAAUGGUGAUGUGUAACCCACCACUUCCUCUCCUUUUCUCCCACAAAAAUUCGGCCAAGUGGCCCAUUAUUUCACCAAGUCUUGCUUCCUUUUUAAUGAAUAUCUAGUGUCUCCAAAGACUAAAAUGCCCCUCCUUACUUGGAUCAAAUUUUGGGCUUUUUUAAAUAAUGUUUGGGCCACCAUAUUUAAUCCCUUUGGACUUUAAGUUGGGCUUGCAAAAUUAAUCUAUUGGACAUAAAGAAUUUAAUUCUUUGGGCCAUGUAAAUCAAUCAUAGUCCAACAAUCUUAAUAAUACCAAAUGUCCAUCAUGCCCUUCCUUCAAUUGGGCUCAAAAUUGGGCCAUCACUUAUAAUCUUUUGGGCUUUCC
Molecule: long non-coding RNA, 2014 nt
Filed under: Panax ginseng (ginseng)
Lineage: Eukaryota; Viridiplantae; Streptophyta; Magnoliopsida; Apiales; Araliaceae
Description: long non-coding RNA (PGIN_LNC014128)
Source: RNAcentral